Molecule: non-coding RNA, 103 nt
Filed under: Herbaspirillum sp.
Lineage: Bacteria; Pseudomonadati; Pseudomonadota; Betaproteobacteria; Burkholderiales; Oxalobacteraceae
Description: ZTP sequence
Rfam family: ZMP/ZTP riboswitch aptamer (pfl RNA motif)
About the family: Previously known as pfl RNA. ZMP is also known as AICAR.
Source: RNAcentral
UUCGUCUCACGUGACUGGCGAAAAGCCGGGAUUUCUUUCCGGCCAAGAUGGGUAUCCAUCGGGAAGCGUGAGAUUUCAUCAGCCGUGCGCCUGGGCAGCCGAA